Alligator sinensis (Chinese alligator) is the source of this 1760-nucleotide long non-coding RNA. RefSeq lists it as uncharacterized. The record is from RefSeq and is a predicted model, not a curated record. The transcript is spliced from 3 exons. Lineage: Eukaryota; Metazoa; Chordata; Crocodylia; Alligatoridae.
UGGCGAAAACUGCUGUAUAAUUGGCAAUUCUAACACAAACCAGAUGACGUGGCAUAAAUCAAUUGGUUAUAACACAAACAAAACCAGCUUGCACUUCCGCCCAAAUUGGAGAACUCUGAACACACACAGCAGAGUAACUUGGCGGUUUGAUCACCCACCAAUAACUCCCUGUCAUCGGCGGUCCCGACGUACCCAAACCCCCCCCUGCAGGCUCGUCAGCUCGGUCACAGCAUCUCUUUCGUCACGCAUGGUCGAUUGUAACCAGAUACGUAUGCUCGGUUGUAACUAAAGCAAGUUUGCUACCUGCAUCGUAUUUCAUCCUGAGGCGGCAUGGUGGCUGCUCACACUCAGUGUAAUGAAGAAAACUGAUUCUUCCUGAUAAUGUCAAAGAGGAAGGGAUCAGGGAGGAGGAUCAUCACAGAAAAUGCAAUGACUGGAGGAAAGAGCUUCACUCUCACCCCUGCAAUGGUUCACUAUGUCAUAUUCAGUGAUCAAGUAGGUGAAGAAACAUACAUGGCUACUGCUUAUAACAACAUAUUGGUGUUUGUUCAAAAGGAGUUCAUUUUCUAGAACAUUCAAUCCAGCUCUUUUCAAGGACAAUGAUUUCCCUGGAUACAUGUAAAAAAUAGAAGAAAUCAAGGCUUUGUGCACCAUAUGUGGAUUGGCUUCAGGUCAUUUGAAUUAUGAGUGAAAUGAUCAUUACACAACACACUGGAGUUACUGGGAUCAUAAGUUUUCUACCUGGGAGACUCCUAUCCUGGGACCCUUUGAGAUAUGUGGGGAGCCGGAGAAGCAAGGGCAACAUUGGACCCCUGCUAAACCAGAAGGGACAACUGACAACCAAUGCCCAGGAAAAAAACAACCUACUAAAUGGAUACUUUACAUCCGUCUUUCAUCAAUCCCUUGGGAUGCCCCUGCUCUUUAUGGGACAGGGAGGCCCAGGUGAAGGAAAUUCCUUGCCCUUUAUCAAUGCUGACCUUGUGAAGGAACACCUUGAGAGGCUGGACACCUUCAAGUCAGCUGGCCCUGAUGGUUUACACCCCAGGGUAUUCAAGGAGCUGGCUAGCAUCAUAGCUCGGCCCCUGGCACGGAUCUUUGAGAACUCCUGGUGCUCUGGUGGAUCCUUAGGCCUAUCCCACACUGGUUCCACCCACUCCCCCAGCCCCCAUCAUCUCUAUCCUGCCUGGCCCCACCCACCGCCUGCCCCUCUGACACCCCCAAUGCACUUCCCAGGUUUUUUUCUGUGUUUUUUUCUGUUUCUUUUUUUUUUUUUAAGUGAUGGUGCCUAGGGUUGUGGGGGUAGCCAUGGGGCCCUGGGAGUGCAAGAGGGGGGGGGAGUCUGGGUGGGGCAGCCAUUGGAGGGUCUGGGGGAGCAGGGGGUGGGGCAGCCAUCAGGGGGGCUGCAGCAGCUGGUGGGGGAUGGGACCAGGUGGGGCAGCAAUCAGGGGGCUGGGGUGGGACAUGUGGGCCUGGCAGGGGGGUGGCCUCUGUGGGGGCCAUUUGCCCCCUGUUGGGAGGCUGUACCCCUUGUGUGUGGGCCAUCCCCUUUUGGGGGCUGUAGCCCUUGUGUGGGGGCCGAACCCCCUGUUGGGGGGGGGCAUAGGUCUUGUGUGGAAGCCAAAUCUCUGUUGGAUGGCUGAACCCCCUGUUGGGGUGCUGUAGCCCUUGUGUGGGGACUGAAUCCCCUGUUGGGGGCCAUAAACCCUGUGUGGGGGCCAUAGCCCCUGUGGGAAGGCAGCAAAAUAUAUAUUUAUGAAUUA